This 274-nucleotide ribosomal RNA is filed under the name uncultured bacterium. RNAcentral describes it as "partial 16S ribosomal RNA". It matches the Rfam family "Bacterial small subunit ribosomal RNA", at positions 523 to 796 of the family's 1533-position model. The record is from RNAcentral.
AUACGGAGGGUGCGAGCGUUAAUCGGAAUUACUGGGCGUAAAGCGCGCGUAGGCGGCUUUGUAAGUCGGAUGUGAAAGCCCUGGGCUCAACCUGGGAAUGGCAUUCGAUACUGCAUAACUAGAGUAUGGCAGAGGGAAGUGGAAUUUCCGGUGUAGCGGUGAAAUGCGUAGAUAUCGGAAGGAACACCAGUGGCGAAGGCGACUUCCUGGGCCAAUACUGACGCUGAGGUGCGAAAGCGUGGGGAGCAAACAGAAUUAGAAACCCCAGUAGUCC